UAAGCGGAGGAAAAGAAACUAACAAGGAUUCCCCUAGUAACUGUGAGUGAAGCGGGAAAAGCUCAAAUUUAAAAUCUGGUGGUCUUUGGCCGUCCGAGUUGUAAUUUAGAGAAGCGUCUUNCGCGCUGGACCGUGCACAAGUCUCCUGGAAUGGAGCGUCAUAGAGGGUGAGAAUCCCGUCUUUGGCACGGACACACCAGGGCUUUUGUGAUGCGCUCUCGAAGAGUCGAGUUGUUUGGGAAUGCAGCUCAAAAUGGGUGGUGAACUCCAUCUAAAGCUAAAUAUUGGCGAGAGACCGAUAGCGAACAAGUACCGUGAGGGAAAGAUGAAAAGCACUUUGGAAAGAGAGUGAAACAGUACGUGAAAUCGUUGAAAGGGAAACGCUUGAAGUCAGUCGCGUCGACCGAGACUCAGCCUUGCCUUGGCUUGGUGUACUUCUCGGCUGACGGGUCGGCAUCAAUUUUGCCCCUUGGAUAAUGGUGAGGGAAAUGUGACACCUUUACGGUGUGUUAUAGUCUCUUGUCGCAUGCAAGGGUCGGGAUUGAGGAACUCAGCACGCGCCCUUGGGCGUCGGGGCUUUUGCCCACGAUACGUGCUUAGGAUGUUGGCAUAAUGGCUUUAAACGACC
RNAcentral lists this ribosomal RNA (628 nucleotides) under uncultured Russulaceae. RNAcentral's name for it is "LSU rRNA". It matches the Rfam family "Eukaryotic large subunit ribosomal RNA", at positions 47 to 649 of the family's 3401-position model. The record is from RNAcentral. Lineage: Eukaryota; Fungi; Basidiomycota; Agaricomycetes; Russulales; Russulaceae.